Molecule: ribosomal RNA, 492 nt
Filed under: uncultured bacterium
Lineage: Bacteria
Description: partial 16S ribosomal RNA
Rfam family: Bacterial small subunit ribosomal RNA
Source: RNAcentral
AGUGAACGCUGGCGGUAGGCCUAACACAUGCAAGUCGAACGGCAGCACAGUAAGAGCUUGCUCUUACGGGUGGCGAGUGGCGGACGGGUGAGGAAUACAUCGGAAUCUACUUUUUCGUGGGGGAUAACGUAGGGAAACUUACGCUAAUACCGCAUACGACCUACGGGUGAAAGCAGGGGAUCUUCGGACCUUGCGCGAUUGAAUGAGCCGAUGUCGGAUUAGCUAGUUGGCGGGGUAAAGGCCCACCAAGGCGACGAUCCGUGGCUGGUCUGAGAGGAUGAUCAGCCACACUGGAACUGAGACACGGUCCAGACUCCUACGGGAGGCAGCAGUGGGGAAUAUUGGACAAUGGGCGCAAGCCUGAUCCAGCCAUACCGCGUGGGUGAAGAAGGCCUUCGGGUUGUAAAGCCCUUUUGUUGGGAAAGAAAAGCAGCAGGUUAAUACCCCGCCGUUCUGACGGUACCCAAAGAAUAAGCACCGGCUAACUUCGUG